AGAUUGAACUGAAGAGUUUGAUCCUGGCUCAGAUUGAACGCUGGCGGCAUGCUUUACACAUGCAAGUCGAACGGCAGCGCGGGCUUCGGCCUGGCGGCGAGUGGCGAACGGGUGAGUAAUAUAUCGGAACGUACCCAAGAGUGGGGGAUAACGUAGCGAAAGUUACGCUAAUACCGCAUACGAUCUAAGGAUGAAAGCAGGGGAUCGCAAGACCUUGUGCUCCUGGAGCGGCCGAUAUCUGAUUAGCUAGUUGGUGAGGUAAAGGCUCACCAAGGCAACGAUCAGUAGCUGGUCUGAGAGGACGACCAGCCACACUGGAACUGAGACACGGUCCAGACUCCUACGGGAGGCAGCAGUGGGGAAUUUUGGACAAUGGGGGCAACCCUGAUCCAGCAAUGCCGCGUGAGUGAAGAAGGCCUUCGGGUUGUAAAGCUCUUUUGUCAGGGAAGAAAAGGCUGUGGCUAAUAUCCACAGCUGCUGACGGUACCUGAAGAAUAAGCACCGGCUAACUACGUGCCAGCAGCCGCGGUAAUACGUAGGGUGCAAGCGUUAAUCGGAAUUACUGGGCGUAAAGCGUGCGCAGGCGGUUUCGUAAGUCUGUCGUGAAAUCCCCGGGCUUAACCUGGGAAUGGCGAUGGAGACUGCGAGGCUAGAGUUUGGCAGAGGGGGGUAGAAUUCCACGUGUAGCAGUGAAAUGCGUAGAGAUGUGGAGGAACACCGAUGGCGAAGGCAGCCCCCUGGGUCAAAACUGACGCUCAUGCACGAAAGCGUGGGGAGCAAACAGGAUUAGAUACCCUGGUAGUCCACGCCCUAAACGAUGUCUACUAGUUGUUGGGUCUUAAUUGACUUAGUAACGCAGCUAACGCGUGAAGUAGACCGCCUGGGGAGUACGGUCGCAAGAUUAAAACUCAAAGGAAUUGACGGGGACCCGCACAAGCGGUGGAUGAUGUGGAUUAAUUCGAUGCAACGCGAAAAACCUUACCUACCCUUGACAUGGAUGGAA
RNAcentral lists this ribosomal RNA (1003 nucleotides) under Pseudoduganella guangdongensis. RNAcentral describes it as "bacterial SSU rRNA". It matches the Rfam family "Bacterial small subunit ribosomal RNA", at positions 1 to 995 of the family's 1533-position model. The record is from RNAcentral. Lineage: Bacteria; Pseudomonadati; Pseudomonadota; Betaproteobacteria; Burkholderiales; Oxalobacteraceae.